CACUAGAGUAGACAGGAGCAGUGGAAAGGAUUUCCUACCUCUGUGACAUUUCUGCAUCACUAAUACAACUCAUUCUUCAUGCUUGGGAAUAAACACAACAUUUUGGUGAACAGAAGCAGAGACUGCAACACCCAGAGCCUGGAGCAAUGUUCAAGAUGACAUCUACUGCUUCAGCUGAAGAUUUUCAGAGUCUCACCUCCGUGGAUGAAAAUCUUCUGCUAGAAACAUGCAAAAAGGAGAGGGAAAAAGAAUGACAAAAGAGCCUCUGACAGAUACAGACCUUCACCUCCCACUCAGCCUGGAGAAGGGACCUUUGCAUCGUGCUCUGGUAUUGUCUGUGUGUGUGUGAAAACCUCCAGAUGGAAAUUUGGAUUCAGCUGUGUGGUGGUGGAUGCUCUCCAAAGCUGGG
RNAcentral lists this long non-coding RNA (409 nucleotides) under Zonotrichia albicollis (white-throated sparrow). Its description in RNAcentral is "lncRNA (ENSZALG00000014734.1)". The record is from RNAcentral. Lineage: Eukaryota; Metazoa; Chordata; Aves; Passeriformes; Passerellidae.